GACGUAUGCGGUCGACUAACGCGACUUCCGGGGAACAAACCCGAAAACAUGUUCGGGACGUGUCCGGCGGAACUGGCACAAAUGGCCACCCUAGGCCCUUCACUCCUAAAACCUUUAAAAGCACAAACGUUUCCUGUGAGAGUUUGAAUUUCUCUCAGUGAGUACUGACAUAACCCCUUCACUCAUAAAACCUUUAAAAGGUUAGCACGAAUGCAUCCAGCAUAAUUUGGGAUCUUUACCAUUGAGGAGACUGGCUGACUGUUCUCAACUAACCAUCAAAACUUUAAAGGUACCACAUUUGUUUAUUAGUUUGCUAGUAUAACACAGUUCUGUUUGUGGAUCAUUUAGUCAUAUUUUUGUGUUUUCUCACAGGUAAAUAUGAACGCGUCUAGAGCAAGAAGCAUUCUUCUAGUUAAAGAAGAAUGUCUUAAGUUUAGCUCUAAAUUGAUCGACUGUGUCUGAUACUCGAACAUUAUUUGGUAAAUCAUUCCAGAGCUUAGGGGCUAAGUAGGAAAAGGAUCUACCACCUUUAGACACUUUUGAUAUUCUAGGGAUAAUUAAGUGACCAGAAUUUUGUGAUCGCAGUUUACGUGGUGGAUUGUAUUCUGAUAGUAAUUCUUUCAUAUACGAGGGCGCUAGGCCAUUUAAGGCUUUGUAGGUGAUUAGUAAUAUUUUAAAUUGUAUGCGAUAUUUAACUGGUAGUCAGUGUAAAGAUGCCAGAAUUGGACAAAUGUGGUCAUACUUUUUAGAUCGAGUAAGCACUCUUGCGGCAGCGUUUUGAACCAGCUGUAGCUUGUUUACCUGAUUUGCGUGACAUCCCCGAGUAACGAGUUACAAUAGUCUAUUCUAGAGGUCAUAAAAGCAUGGAUAAGCUUCUCUGCAUCUGUUGCAGACAGCAUAUGGUGUAUUUUUGAGAUAUUUCUAAGAUGGAAGAAUGCUGUGCGGCAGACGUUGGAGAUAUGACUAUUGAAAGAUGGAUUGCUGUCGAACAUUACGCCCAAAUUCUUAACCGUGGAAGAUGGCACCAUCGUGCAGCCAUCUAUGGGCAACUUGUAAUCUGACAUAUUAUGUUUGGAGCGAUUUGGUUCAAUAAUAAGUAUCUCAGUCUUAUUGGAGUUUAGCAUAAGAAAGUUAUGUGCCAUCCAGUCCCUAAUAUCACUAAUACAGUCUGUUAGCUUAGCAAACUGGUGGGUUUCGCUAGGAUGUGACGAGAUGUAAAGCUGGGUAUCAUCCGCAUAGCAGUGAAAACUUAUGUUAUGUUUUCUGUUAAUGUCUCCUACCAUCAUUAACACAACAAAAACUAAAGAAAUGUUACUACAAGUGGACCCAUUUAUUUACUCAUCAUGCUGUGAGUACACCACAGUUUUGUCAGUAAAACAAUAAUAUUUGUGUUUUCUCACUGUUUGGCAUAGACUAAUGUGACCCUGUGUAAUUUGGAAAUUUCAUGGGAAAAGUGUACGUCUUAAUGUUUAAAUGUCAUUUGAAUUAAGGAACAGUACAUUUGAUUUACCAAAAGUGUACAGUACAUUGAGUCAUAAAGGAAUACUUGAUUUAUUUCAUAAGAAAUGUGUAAAUGUGAAUUUGGACCCAAAAGCACACUUUUGUUUUGUUUAAAAAAAUGUUUGUAAAAUAAAUGAUUGUUCAAUAAACUGUAAUAAUUUUA
Molecule: non-coding RNA, 1663 nt
Organism: Paramisgurnus dabryanus
Lineage: Eukaryota; Metazoa; Chordata; Actinopteri; Cypriniformes; Cobitidae
Source: RefSeq, a predicted model, not a curated record